Long non-coding RNA from Vidua macroura (Pin-tailed whydah), 436 nucleotides. RefSeq lists it as uncharacterized. NCBI's taxonomy places the organism in Eukaryota, Metazoa, Chordata, Aves, Passeriformes, Viduidae. The transcript is spliced from 3 exons. The record is from RefSeq and is a predicted model, not a curated record.
GGGCUCGGCUCGCUGCCACGACGUGUUCCCUGCCGCCUCUGCAUCCCCCGCGGGCCCCUCCCCACCUUUCCUGCUCUGCUCACGGCAAUUUCACCCCCAGAAUCGCGCUGGAGCUGUACCAGCCCAAGGCAGCAUGUUGUCUGUACCAUCCACAGUGAGCUCCCGAGCCUGCUGGGACAGCUCAGAUCCGGGAAAAUGGAAGUCUUCUACAAUUCGGGUGUAGACCAGCAGAUUUGUCACUCACACCAGGACCAUCAGACAGCAAUCACCAAGAGCAAGGUCUGCCUUGUGCUCAAAGGCUGCUCCAAAGACCUUAUGCUCUAAACAGAUCUUUUCAUGCUGUCAAGAGGGAGAACAAUUCAGAUAUAGCUGGAGGCUGCCCAAGUACAGGAAGAAGCACUGCUAAGUUAAAUGGUAUCUCUCUAGAAGCUUUUUG